GCCCUGCCUGCCCAGUGAUAUAAUUCAACGGCCGCGGUAUUCUGACCGUGCAAAGGUAGCAUAAUCACUUGUCUUUUAAAUAAAGACUAGAAUGAACGGCAAAACGAGGUAUCAACUGUCUCCUUUAUCUAGUCAAAGAAACUGAUCUCUCUGUGAAAAAGCAGAGAUAAUUAUACAAGACGAGAAGACCCUAUGAAGCUUAAAUACACACAUACAAAAACUUAUUCAUAUAAGUCCUAAAUCAAUAACUGUAACACAUUUGGUUGGGGUGACCACGGAGAAAAAGUAACCUCCGAGAAAAUAAAUUAAGAAAAACAAUUCAAAAUUAGACCAAAUAACUUGAUCCAAUCUUAUUGAACAACGAAACAAGUUACUCUAGGGAUAACAGCGCAAUAUUCUCCAAGAGUUCCUAUCGACGAGAAAGUUUACGACCUCGAUGUUGGAUCAGGAUAUCCAGACAAUGCAGCCGUUGUCACAGGUUUGUUUGUUCAACAAUUAAAAUCCU
Molecule: ribosomal RNA, 505 nt
Filed under: Scolecomorphus uluguruensis
Lineage: Eukaryota; Metazoa; Chordata; Amphibia; Gymnophiona; Scolecomorphidae
Description: partial 16S ribosomal RNA
Rfam family: Bacterial large subunit ribosomal RNA
Source: RNAcentral